GCCGAAGUGGCGGAACUUGGCAGACGCACUGGACUCAGGAUCCAGGGGGUAAUAGCCCGUGCGGGUUCGAAUCCCGCCUUCGGCACCA
RNAcentral lists this transfer RNA (88 nucleotides) under Pseudomonadota bacterium. RNAcentral describes it as "tRNA-Leu". It matches the Rfam family "tRNA". From Rfam's summary of the family: Transfer RNA (tRNA) molecules are approximately 80 nucleotides in length. Their secondary structure includes four short double-helical elements and three loops (D, anti-codon, and T loops). RNAcentral also lists the same sequence under 1 other name. The record is from RNAcentral. Lineage: Bacteria; Pseudomonadati; Pseudomonadota.